AAUCAAAUUAUCUUCAUCACAAGUUAAAAGAAAAAGGGGUCGGAGCAGCAGAUGGCUGCCGUUAGUGGGCCCACCCAUGGUUUCCGUAAUCCAUUUCUCGGCAGUCGGUACCAGCAGGUUUUGAUUUGGUUUUUAGUUUUACCUUUCGUAAAAGUAAUUGCCAAAUCAAGAUUUAGGAAAACAAUAUUCCUGUUGUUAGAACUAUAUGAUUUUUUUUAUAAAACAGUAGGGAACCCUUACUGGAUCUUUUUCUUUUUCAUAGAAAAAAAACUAUAUUAAUC
Molecule: long non-coding RNA, 281 nt
Filed under: Setaria viridis
Lineage: Eukaryota; Viridiplantae; Streptophyta; Magnoliopsida; Poales; Poaceae
Description: long non-coding RNA (SVIR_LNC005530)
Source: RNAcentral